Molecule: ribosomal RNA, 253 nt
Filed under: uncultured bacterium
Lineage: Bacteria
Description: partial 16S ribosomal RNA
Rfam family: Bacterial small subunit ribosomal RNA
Source: RNAcentral
UACGUAGGGUGCGAGCGUUAAUCGGAAUUACUGGGCGUAAAGGGUGCGCAGGCGGUCCUGCAAGUCAGGCGUGAAAUCCCCGGGCUUAACCUGGGAAUGGCACUUGAAACUACGGGACUGGAGUAUGGCAGAGGGAGGUGGAAUUCCACGUGUAGCGGUGAAAUGCGUAGAGAUGUGGAGGAACACCGAUGGCGAAGGCAGCCUCCUGGGCCAAUACUGACGCUCAUGCGCGAAAGCUAGGGGAGCGAACAGG